GACGAACGUUGGCGGCGUGCUUAAUACAUGCAAGUCCACUGAAGCAGUGGUAGCAAUAUCGCUGUGGAGGUGGCGCACGGGUGAGUAACACGUAGGUAAUCUGCCUUCAGGUCUGGCAUAACUCCGGGAAACCGGGGCUAAUAGCAGAUGAUGCAGCGGCUCGACAUCGAGACAGUUGUUAAAGCUAUGGCGCCUGAAGAUGAGCCUGCGUCUGAUUAGCUAGUUGGCGGGGUAACGGCCCACCAAGGCAACGAUCAGUAGCUGGUCUGAGAGGAUGAUCAGCCACACUGGAACUGAGACACGGUCCAGACUCCUACGGGAGGCAGCAGUAAGGAAGAUUGCUCAAUGGGAGAAAUCCUGAAGCAGCAACGCCGCGUGAGGGACGAAGGGCUUUUGCUUGUAAACCUCUGUAGUGAGAGAAAAAAAUCCCAAUCUUUGGGACAUGAUGGUAUCUCAAAAGUAAGCCCCGGCUAACUACGUG
Molecule: ribosomal RNA, 481 nt
Filed under: uncultured bacterium
Lineage: Bacteria
Description: partial 16S ribosomal RNA
Rfam family: Bacterial small subunit ribosomal RNA
Source: RNAcentral